CUGAAUGUAUGGCCUCUCAGUUUUUGUUUAGUUUCUGCACCAUUUCCUAAUAGGUGGAGCAUUGGCACUUUGGUGCACAGUGGAGUUGCCUGUGAAAUGUCCCGAUAUCCAUGGCUUCCUUGCUCUCUUUUGCCAUUUUUGUCCAGGUGGAUGGAGGGUGAUGUUAAUCAUGACUGUGAGAAGAAGUGGUGGCUGGUGGGGACAGAAACUCCAUUGACAUAUUCUGGAAUAUUCCCUCAAGCUCAGAGACUACUUUUUUCUGGAAGGGGCCCUGAAAGGCUUUCAUGGUGUCUCUUCAUGGCACCACCUGCCUUCUAGUGCAUCAUUGGGCUCCUUUGGACAGAAAACUACCUGGUUAUUAAGUCAGAUCUCCUUUUUAGUCCUGAACUGGUGAUUUUGUGCUUUGGGAGAUAAAUCCUCACAGCCAGCUGCCUGGGUUUAAGAGGGAGAGGGAGCAGGUGGGGGAGGCAGGAGAGGAUCCCCUGAUCCCCCCCUCCUCAUUCUUUUCCCCUUCCUCAGCAGAGGCUGCCAAUCAGGAGGAAUACCACAGGGGAAUUUUUUCCACUAGAACAACUGUGUCCCUGGGGCACAAAGCCCAGUAUCAC
This 605-nucleotide long non-coding RNA is filed under the name Phascolarctos cinereus (koala). RNAcentral describes it as "lncRNA (ENSPCIG00000003854.2)". Lineage: Eukaryota; Metazoa; Chordata; Mammalia; Diprotodontia; Phascolarctidae. The record is from RNAcentral.